CGCGGGCCUAUCAGCUUGUUGGCGGGGUAACGGCCCACCAAGGCGACGACGGGUAGCUGGUCUGAGAGGACGGCCAGCCACACUGGGACUGAGACACGGCCCAGACUCCUACGGGAGGCAGCAGUGGGGAAUCUUGCGCAAUGGGCGAAAGCCUGACGCAGCGACGCCGCGUGGGGGAUGAAGGCCCUCGGGUUGUAAACCCCUUUCGGCAGGGACGAAGCGAAAGUGACGGUACCUGCAGAAGAAGCUCCGGCUAACUACCUGCCAGCAGCCGCGGUAAGACGUAGGGAGCGAGCGUUGUCCGGAUUUAUUGGGCGUAAAGCGCGCGUAGGCGGCCGUGCAAGUCGGUUGUGAAAUUCCGGGGCUCAACCCCGGGACUGCGUCCGAUACUGUGCGGCUCGAGGCAGGCAGGGGAGAGUGGAAUUCCCGGUGUAGCGGUGAUAUGCGCAGAUAUCGGGAGGAACACCGGUGGCGAAGGCGGCUCUCUGGGCCUGUCCUGACGCUCAGGCGCGAAAGCUAGGGGAGCGAACAGGAUUAGAUACCCUGGUAGUCCUAGCCGUAAACGUUGGGCGCUAGGUGUGGGGAGAUAUCGACCCUUUCCGUGCCGAAGCUAACGCAUUAAGCGCCCCGCCUGGGGAGUACGG
Molecule: ribosomal RNA, 644 nt
Filed under: uncultured actinomycete
Lineage: Bacteria; Bacillati; Actinomycetota; Actinomycetes; Actinomycetales
Description: bacterial SSU rRNA
Rfam family: Bacterial small subunit ribosomal RNA
Source: RNAcentral